Solea solea (common sole) is the source of this 480-nucleotide long non-coding RNA. RefSeq lists it as uncharacterized. Lineage: Eukaryota; Metazoa; Chordata; Actinopteri; Pleuronectiformes; Soleidae. The record is from RefSeq and is a predicted model, not a curated record. The transcript is spliced from 3 exons.
UCUCAGUUCUUCAUCACAUGUAUUCACUGUUACAUAUUUAUGUGUUGUAUCCUUUAAUUUCAGGAAAGGCCCAACAAGCCAAACAGCAACCAUGUGACUCCAGUUGUCUGUUAAUUCAUGUCAUUACUCAGGAUGAAGGUGUGCUGCAAUACCUUAAGAAAAUCAUCAGAGGCAACAUUGUGUCUCCCUGGGCCAAGAAGGAGGACAGGGUCUUCAGUCUUAUUGAAGAUGAUGACCAAGUGGACCAGGUGAUGCACUUGUUGUCUGGAGUGGUUGAAAGUCCACAGACAGAUAAGAAGUCUGCAGAUCCUGUGGCUUUAAUCAUACAGAGAGAUAACUCAGCUUCAGAGCCACAUGUCUAAGGAAGCAAGGCUCAAACUGGAAAGCCUUAGAGAGUGAGGACUUUGUCGUUAGGCGUCUGUAAUCCCUGACUACUUUUAGAAACAUGUAAAUAGUUAAUUGUCUGCUAUGCAUACAAAU